Molecule: transfer RNA, 75 nt
Filed under: Cupriavidus numazuensis
Lineage: Bacteria; Pseudomonadati; Pseudomonadota; Betaproteobacteria; Burkholderiales; Burkholderiaceae
Description: tRNA-Arg
Source: RNAcentral
GGCAAGACCGGCGCGGACGCCGACAAGGUCGUCUACGAGGUGGCCGACCUGUGGUUCCAUACCAUGGUCCUGCUG